AUCCCUCAUCACGGAGAACCCCUUUGCUAAGGCGCCCUUUUCUCCCAUUCCUAGGGUCCCGGGGGCACAGAGGAAAACCCCUGGAGCGGACUCUGGAGGCAUGGCUGGUAAACAACUACAGGCGCUUCCAGUUCACCAGGUGCGCGAAGACUCCCAGGGGAGGCAUGGGAGGCUUAACUAAACACGACCUGCUUUGCCUGCAAGCCCGGAGGGAAAAGGCAGGAGGAAACCCAGGAAUCUGCAUGACCCGCAGCAUUAAAAGACCGCAGGAUGAAAGACGUUCUCUCUCUUCGAGCCAAGAUCCCAGGACCUUGCGGCGCCUUCUCUCCCCAAACCAGCAGACUUUCCUGACAGACCCCAGACUCCGAAGGCCUCGAACCUGGGUUUUGAGGAAACGAAUACUAAUGGGGCCCAGCCCCGCGAAGACCGUUAAAAAGUAAUCUUCACGUGGAGGGGAUGGGAAGAGAACACUCCCGUCAGGACAAGGUUCCACGCACAGCACUGAGCAAGUCAAGGGAUCCCAUCAAUCAAAAAAUUUUCCUCUACAAGGAGGAGGCAGUGUUCUCAGAACCACAGCAAAAAGCUGGUGGAGAACAAAAUGGGCUCUGGAUCUCCGCCAGACCCAGGCUGAGGGCUGGUGCUGGAGGAUCUGGCAAGAUGUGGGAGAACCGUAGGAACUGGUACGCACUGGUGCCUUUUGUGUGGAGAUCCUUAAUCUUGCUGGAAUAUUCCAUUAAGUCCCUGAUAAUGCAGCUGGCUUCUCCCUGAAUCUUAAUGUUCUUUUGAUGGGUGGCUGAAAUCCGACCUCUUGUUGAAAUAAGCCUCUUUAGUGGGGUUUCCAGAGACCAGGGUUCCUCAGGUGUGACAACGGCUCUGUGCAUAGCAUCAACUGAAGCCUGCUGCACGUUGCUGCUGGGGGCCUGGGGGAAACAAAGGGACUCGGGCAACUGUAAAGCUCCUGCCGUCCCCAGGAAGCGUGUAGAAUGUGGCAGGUCUCCUCCUUAGCUUGCAAGUGAGCUACAGUCUCCGACUCCAUGGUUCUUGAUGACUUUAUAAUGAGCGUGGGAUGCUGAAAACGUGGCUUUCUGGGAAGGAAAGGACCGACCCUUUGCAGGCUGGGUUAGGGGAUGGGAGAGGCAAACCCCUGGGAUCUGGUAGCAAGUGCUCUUGCCCAAGUGGGGGUGUGUUAAGAGUCUCCCUCUGUCCUACCUGUGAAGGAGCCUGACUGGGCUAGGUGGGAUUGAAACCUGAAGCCCAAAUAGUGCUUCUGCUGGCUGCUCACUCCUGCACUGCGAGGUGCUACGAGCAGCUGCUGGACUGCUGGGAACCAUACGUGGGCCUUGCUUCCUGUACACAGCUGCUCUUGCAGUCAUUCCUGUAUCCCUCCCACCAGCCACUUUGAAGAAAAAGCCAAGUAUGUUAGGGAACAUUGGGUGGGGACAGGGUGGUGGCUCUGUUGGCCACAGGCACCGAAGUCUCCAUCCUACUUGGUCAUGGGCAAGAAGGGAUGCCUGGAUUGGGUUCAAGGUCAAGGGGGAGAGAAACCUGUGUGAUCUUGUGUGGGGGGUCCUUUGGACCGACUCCGUAGGCUUUCCUUGUUGUGUCUACAUCUGACUGUAGGAGUUUUUUUAAAAUUUAUUCCAUCUUCUAAGUGUACUACAUAAUUCUCAUCUGACCCAUCCCCCCACCCCCCCCACCCCCCCCUCUGCUAACCAUCAGUUCUUAAUGAAGAGUCUCUUUUCCUUUGCUCACUCGUUUCAUAAAUCCCCCAUGAAUGAGAUCUGGUGUUUCUGACUUCCCUUUCUUCUCAUGUACUCCGUAGCUCUAUCCAUG
Hyaena hyaena (striped hyena) is the source of this 1833-nucleotide long non-coding RNA. RefSeq lists it as uncharacterized. Lineage: Eukaryota; Metazoa; Chordata; Mammalia; Carnivora; Hyaenidae. The record is from RefSeq and is a predicted model, not a curated record. The transcript is spliced from 3 exons.